ACAUGGCUUAAACAUCGCGCGAGUUGUUAGUGUCCGAGAAUGCGCGCAUUCUAUACGAUUGUUGUGUUAAUGAUCCUCUUUGAGAACCUUGCUAGUAGCUGGUGCUUCUCUAUCAAACCCUUAAUGGGAUUGCAAGAUGACACCAAUUCAAAAUCACAAAUUUUAAAUUUUCACGAGAAUGACAGUACUACGACACCGCAAGUUACUAUGGAGAGCAGAAUAAUAUUUAUUCCACGAAGAAAUAGAGUUUUCUGUCAACCGGGCGAACAAGUCGAUCGGCGUGGGAAGUGCAGAAUGGUGUGGUGAAUUAACAAUCUGACAAAUAAAAAGCAAAUAAGUCACAAUCUUUAUUGAGAGAUUAAACACCAAUGUUAUUCAUGAAAGAAGAUAUUUCCGAAAAGAAAAUAGAGAUGAGGAUCAUAUAUAUUUUAAAGGUUAACAACAAUGGAAAAAUCUACAUGGAAGAUCUACAUUAGAAAUAUCUAAUUAAUUAACAACGCACAAAGUGCUACAAAUUGAAUCAUCAAUUAUAAAUUUUCCCACGAAAUAAUCAAGAUAUGGAGAUGGUGUUAAUUAAAUUAUUUUACUGCUAUAUAUACUUAUUGUCAAUUAUUAUAGGAGUAGAAUUUUUAUAUCAAGCAUGAUUAAAACCAAUAUGAAAAUUAUGGAGUAUUAAAAAAUUAUAUUUAAUAUUAAAGAAUAAAUAA
Molecule: long non-coding RNA, 707 nt
Organism: Cataglyphis hispanica
Lineage: Eukaryota; Metazoa; Arthropoda; Insecta; Hymenoptera; Formicidae
Exons: 2
Source: RefSeq, a predicted model, not a curated record